Molecule: ribosomal RNA, 187 nt
Filed under: uncultured rumen bacterium
Lineage: Bacteria
Description: partial 16S ribosomal RNA
Rfam family: Bacterial small subunit ribosomal RNA
Source: RNAcentral
UACGGGAGGCAGCAGUGAGGAAUAUUGGUCAAUGGGCGAGAGCCUGAACCAGCCAAGUAGCGUGAGGGACGACUGCCCUAUGGGUUGUAAACCUCUUUUGUUUGGGAAUAAAGUGGGCCACGGGUGGCCUUUUGUAUGUACCUUACGAAUAAGCAUCGGCUAAUUCCGUGCCAGCAGCCGCGGUAAU